GUCCACGCCGUAAACGAUGGGUGCUAGGUGUCGCGGGCUUUGACUCCUGCGGUGCCGUAGCUAACGCAUUAAGCACCCCGCCUGGGGAGUACGGCCGCAAGGCUAAAACUCAAAGGAAUUGACGGGGGCCCCGCACAAGCGGUGGAGCAUGUGGUUUAAUUCGACGCAACGCGCAGAACCUUACCUGGGCUAGAAAAUGCAGGAACCUGGUCGAAAGGUCGGGGUGCUCUUCGGAGAACCUGUAGUUAGGUGCUGCAUGGCUGUCGU
This 267-nucleotide ribosomal RNA is filed under the name uncultured bacterium. Its description in RNAcentral is "partial 16S ribosomal RNA". It matches the Rfam family "Bacterial small subunit ribosomal RNA", at positions 793 to 1055 of the family's 1533-position model. The record is from RNAcentral.